Molecule: long non-coding RNA, 1077 nt
Filed under: Homo sapiens (human)
Lineage: Eukaryota; Metazoa; Chordata; Mammalia; Primates; Hominidae
Description: HSALNT0065904
Source: RNAcentral
CCGUCCCGCGAGGUCCUUCGCCGGGCGGCGGGAGCUAGACGAGCACGCAGGGCACCCCUCGGGCUCCCGGGAGGCGGCCCUGGGCGUCCCCUUUCUGCCGCCGCCGCGGCCCCGGCUGCUUUCUGCGUAGCUGGGCAGGGCCCGGGCCCCCACAUCGCCUCUCUCGGGAAUGCGGGCGCUCUGGAGCCGGGGAGCCGGGGCGACCGCAGGGAGGGCAGCUCUCCGGGGUGGAGGUCCUCGGGCGCCGCGCCCUCGCCUGGAAACCAGCCGUCGCCCCCGCAGGAGUCAGCCGGCGUGGACGCCCCAGCACGCUCCUUCUUGGUGCUGCCGGUCGCCCUGCAAUUCCGAGAAGAAAGUCAGAGACGCCGUGGCCCACAGAGGCGCUUAGUUUUCCUCGCUCACACUCACGUUGCUUCCUCAUCGCGUUCUUCUUUUUCUCCCUGGGUGCUUUCUCUCCUCUCCAGGAAAGCGGAUUUGGAGGAACAGGUUUCGUGACUGUCAUCCAACUGGAAAAGGCCCCGCGAGCUGGAAGGGGGGGCGGGGGGGGGGACGGGUGCACCCUCAGAGUUAUUGCUGGAGGCUGUGGCCAGGCCGGGCAAUGUGGUGACUUCCGCUGGCAGGCUGAGGCCCACCCCAGCCCUCCCACCUGGGCCACGGGGCUCUCAGCGGGAGCCCCAGUUAUGACCGGACACCAGCGCACCGCCAAGGAGACAGCCACGUGGGGACAUGCCGGGCUAGCAGGGUCAGAGCCACUUUGAGGACUAGUGACCUCGGUUCCCUGGCUUAACCAGGUCCUUAUGGGUGAGAAUCCUGAAGAGGGGGAGAGGGAUGGAGGCGAGGGACAGUAGGCAGGAGGAGCUGAUGAAUAGGAAGGAGGAAGAAGAUGAAAUAAACAAGAAAGAAAGAAAUUACGUUCAGAGCGCUGCUCACCUUUUCCAUGUCUUCUGCACCUUCAUAGCCUUCAAAGGUGUCCAUGGAGCUAAACUCCCUGCUGGAGCAGCCUUGGGGAAAGAAAGGAAAGGAUGGGGCCUCUCUGGGGUGGGAGGACAGCCCCUCUGCCCAUGGCAGGGUGUAGCA